Molecule: long non-coding RNA, 493 nt
Filed under: Brassica napus (rape)
Lineage: Eukaryota; Viridiplantae; Streptophyta; Magnoliopsida; Brassicales; Brassicaceae
Description: long non-coding RNA (BNAP_LNC017611)
Source: RNAcentral
UGAUCUAUGGAAAGUCACCAAUGUACUUCGGAGUACAGUGUUUCCGCUGAGCGAUUCUGUCUGGGAUGGAACAUGUAUGGGUUCACACUUGCUCGGACCUUCCAUUGACAACCACUAACACGACAUGUUGCCACAAAGAGAGUUUUCGUUGACUUGAAUAUUCUGAAGGAGAACCUACGCCUCACCGCUGUCAACCGCAACUCUGAAACAGUGCAUCCUUAUUAGCAAAACUCUGGUUGACAUAAAUUCUGUCUGCAGAUGAUCCUUCUCCUUCACAACCAUAUGCUCCUUUGUAAUCAUCAAAACAUAUUUCAUCAUCUUCUUUCUCAUCAGCGUCUUUAACCUUUCCAUACUCACUAUAAUCCUCAGCAUCAGUGACAACAGGGAUGUCAGCAUCCUCCUCCCCAUCAUGAUCCUCAGCUUCAUGCCCCUCCUCAGCUUCAUCCCCCUCCUCAGCUUCAUCCCUCACAUCAGCUUCAUCCCCCUCCUCAGC